AUUGAACGCUGGCGGCAUGCUUACACAUGCAAGUCGAACGGUAACAGGUCUUCGGAUGCUGACGAGUGGCGAACGGGUGAGUAAUGCAUCGGAACGUGCCCAGUCGUGGGGGAUAACGCAGCGAAAGCUGUGCUAAUACCGCAUACGAUCUAUGGAUGAAAGCGGGGGAUCGCAAGACCUCGCGCGAUUGGAGCGGCCGAUGUCAGAUUAGCUAGUUGGUGGGGUAAAGGCCCACCAAGGCGACGAUCUGUAGCUGGUCUGAGAGGACGACCAGCCACACUGGGACUGAGACACGGCCCAGACUCCUACGGGAGGCAGCAGUGGGGAAUUUUGGACAAUGGGCGCAAGCCUGAUCCAGCAAUGCCGCGUGCAGGAAGAAGGCCUUCGGGUUGUAAACUGCUUUUGUAUGGAACGAAAAGGUCUGGGUUAAUACCCUGGGCUCAUGACGGUACCGUAAGAAUAAGCACCGGCUAACUACGUG
Molecule: ribosomal RNA, 481 nt
Filed under: uncultured bacterium
Lineage: Bacteria
Description: bacterial SSU rRNA
Rfam family: Bacterial small subunit ribosomal RNA
Source: RNAcentral